AGGCAGGGAAGGCCCAGGGAAGGGGCUCACUCAGGGGCAUGGGCCACUCUGCAGGGAUGCUGGACCUGACAGCAAUGCAGUGCUUCGGAACUCCCCUGGGCUGGGUUUCUAACCAGUGGGAUGGAAGGGCCUUUCCUUCCUGGGGUGCAUUUGGGGGAACUAGAUACGUCAUGAAUGUCAGCCCUGAAAAUGGAGGCUGCGCUACAUCCAUUCUUGGAAAGAAAAAUCAGGCCCUUCCAGCCCAGGUGACUCAGAAAGUCAGUCAGCAAUGUUCGGGGUCCCCAGUUUAGGCUUUCAAUUUGAGCUGAGCGGCUCAGGAGGCCAGAUCCCUGUCCGUGGCUCCAGGAGUAGGCUUUCUGCUGGGGGACAGGAUCCUCACAAACACCUGUGUCUUUGUGGGUCACUCCCCUCUGACAAGCUGGGAGGCAGGGUGCAGUUGUGGGAAAUCGUGUUUCCAUGAGGAGAGGGCCACCAAGUGGUGGGGGCACAGGAGACAGUGAGAAAGAGUCCCGCGGCCUUUCUGGAAUCAAAAAACUGGCAAAUGUGAAAAAGUGCAUAAUUUGUUUUAUUGAACAGGCUGCUUAUGUACGUUUGGAGGGCCAGGUUCAAGGACACUGCAUCCCUCCAGGACAAUAGCCUCAAAAGAAGAACAGACAGAGCAGGAAGAGAUGUGGGGUUUCUCCCAGGAAUGAGGCAGAACAGGGAUUUCUGCAGAUUUGCAAGGAGACCCCGACCGCUGAGCACCGGGUUACAACCCCACGUGACCCUUGUCGUGUUUGGCUUGGGCUCUGGGUCUGGCCUGAUCAUGUAUUCUUCCAGCUGAGUUCCAGAAAUUCAGAGGGUAGACUUAGAGAGGCUGCGUUUGGAACCCGGUGUGGAGACGGAGGGUCCUUUAUCCUGAGUCCCCUCAGCCUAAUCACUGUAGCUGAGUUCCAACACCACCCAGGCCCCCAGGGUGGCCGUGGAGGGAGAGCAAGCCUGGCAGGUGACCCAGGGGUCCCACUGCUGUGCCCCUCCCUUAUCUUUGUUCCCUUUCACCCCGGAAGGUGUGAUUGUCUCAUGUCAUGGUGACAAGCCAUCUCUCUUCUCUGUCAGGUGGGAUCCCCACCCCCGCUCAGCCUUCUUUCUGCAUGGAUGCUGAAGGACCAGGCUCACUUGAAGUUCUGAGUUUGAGCAGUAAGGUGGAAACAAAGAAACCAAUGGAAACAAAGAAACAAGUCAUUGUGGCAAAGCUCCCCACCACAGAGAAGCUGCCCUGAGUGGAAGGGAGGAAAAGGCUGACCAGCCUCUGGUUCCCGUACCGGUCAACUGAUUGGAGUACCUUUCCAGUUUGGAAACAUCUGGGCAGGCCCAGAUUGAACAGGAUCCAGGGGGAAGUACCAAGCCUGUCCCAUCGGCCAUCCUGUGUGUCAUGUCCUGUGACCCAGUGGAUGCUCAGCACCCUCCAGCUGAAGAAACAGAUUGCCUUAGGUACAUGAAAGGUGAGGACACCUACUAUCCCCAUGGAGCCCAGGUGGGGCUGGGAGUCUGCUGUUUGUACAGCCGGUGGGCUCGUGUUUCUUUGGGCAUCCCUGUGCCUGAAUUCCUGCAGUACACUCGGUGUGCAUUCCAUGGUGCAUCCUCGCCUAGAAUUGAGUGGAAGCAAGUCCAUCUCAGAAGGGACAUACCUGAAGAGAAAUGGCUUUCCAGACUCUGAAGGGCAGAGAAAGCACCAGCCUGGGUUAGAGAAAGAGAACAGCAUCUCUGAGCCCGUCCUGGGUGACCUCACAGAGAUCACCCUAGUGGCCCAGGCUAGUGACCGGGAACAUGUACCUUCCUGCAGCCAACCCCAGACGUCCACUGAUGCAUCAUAUACUGGCAAAGAUCCUGGCCUGGGGGGGCGUUGGCCGCCGGAGAUUCGCCAGAUGUUGGACUCCAGGGGCGGCUUCUGCUGCUGUAGAGGCGGGACGCCGGUCUCCAGGUGAGCUUGGUCCUGGGAGGCGGCGGCGGCGGCGGCGGCGGCUGGGGGUUGGGGUCCGUUCCAGGGAGCUGCUCCAUUUCUUCUCUCCCCCGCGGCCUGGCCUGGGGGCGACCUCUGCCGCCAGAGAUUUGCCUGAGGUCCGACUCCAGGUGAGCUUGCUCCUGGGAGAUGGGUGCGGUGCAGUCAGGGGGCUGGGAAGGUGGUGGCUGCGGGGAUAGGGAGGCUGCCCCGGGGGAGCUUGAGGAUUAGCUCCCAUGUCUGUGCCGCGUGGCCUGCAGGCGGCCUCUGCUGCGCCAGGUCCCGGGACAACCCUUUCCCACUUUGCCUGCUGGGGGCGGGAGGCAGGGUAGUCAGGGUGCACGGGUGGCGGGGGUCGGGGGCCUGCAGCGGGGGAGCGGGCACAUUUGCUCCCAUCUUCCCCGCGGCUUGUCCUGGGGGAGGUGUCUCUUGCCCUGGGUUAAGAGACACGUGUAUCCUAGUCAGCCUGGCCCCAGGAGGCGGGCGUGUUACGUUGGGGGUGGUGGCAGCAGCGGCAGGUUUUCCCAUGGAGCCGGUCCAUUUGCUCCCAUUUCUCCCCAUUUUUUGCCCUGGGGGCGGUCCCUGUUGUCCCUAGUUCGCCGGACGUCCAUCUCCAGGUGACAUUUUAGGUUAUUGGGUCCCAGAUUGCUGGCACACUCAUCCCUGUUCUCAAACAUCUUUUAAACUUGGGUGAAGUGAUAAGUUGGGGAAGAAGAUGAUUUACUGAAAGUCUCCCGAGAAGAGAUUCAGACUGAACAGCUUUGUGUCGGACUUUGGAAGACCGCUGGUGCCCAAGGGGUUCUCUGGCAGCACAAUGACGAAUCUAGGUACCUCUUUCACUGCUACGUCAAUGAAGUGGACCGCUUGGACAAGGCCAAAGCUGGUAUCCCAACCAUAGCCCUUGACAGUGAUGUUCGGCUCCAGGAAGCCAUCAGAUGCAGCAGGUGGCCAGAGGAGGAGCCGAACGGGCUCAUGAAAUGUGACACCCCCAGCUUCAUCAACACGGACCAGAACUCUUCCUUUGGGGAAGAUGAUCUCCUGAUUUUGGAACCACCUAUUGUUCUAGAAAAUAAGCCAGUUGCCCAGACCUCACACAAAGACUUGAAUUGGAAAUGUGCUUUGUCAAGUAUUUCUCUGAAGAUGUGAAGUCUGUCUUUGUAUGGCAGGAAGUCCCCUUUCACAAAAUUGUAUGUGUUUGUGUCUGAGAGAGAGAAAUGGAGACAGACAGAAAGACGGAGACAGAAGAGAGCCCCCUCAGAAGAGAGCUAGUUAAGCAUCCCAGACUGACGAAGACAGUGGAGAAUGCCUCUGAGUUUGGCACUGAUUGCCUGGAGAAUGCUGAAACCCAGGGAAGUGGGCAGCACAGACGUUUACUCAUUUAAUCCUGCCAACACAGUAGGAGAUAGAGUCUACAUAUUCCUCGCUACUUAAAAGAUCCCUGCCUUCUCUCUGCUCCUCCUGUCCAUGUCUCUCCCUCCACUUUUCCCCUUCUCCCUUCCUCCUCCCAUCUUCUCCGUCCCUCGCUUCCCCACCUUCUCUUGCAGAACCCAGAGAGGAUCGCUGGCCCUCCUGCGCAUGCGCAGUCUGUGCCAGCUGGACCGAGGGUUGGAAGCUGCAACUCCGAGCCGGGGAUCGGCCCCAAAGGCUUCUCAGCUCUUUCGCCCGGUAGGACUUUGGCUCCUGCCCUGGCGCCCCGGCCACAGCUGUCCAGGGCCAAGUGUGCACCUGCCGCCUCUCGCCCCAGCCGGGCUCCCCUCAGUCCGCGGCUGGCUUCCCCUUCCCCUCUCCCGCCCGCGAGUCCUCUCCUCCCGGGCUGCCUCUCCUCGGGCGCCGGCCCGUCCCCGCCCCUAGGCGGGCUGUGUCCCGGGCGGGCGGGUUCUGCGGACCCGGACGGGGGCGGGCGGCUGGGGCUGGGGCUGGCCUCCGAGCGGGGCUACAGUCCGCGUCACCCCCCCCCCGCUUUCCCUGCCCCGCGACCCCGGGGCUGCCCUCCUCUCCCUUUCCCGCUCCCUGGGGACCAGCUCAGUGGUGUGGGCGCUGCUCCCCGGGCUGAGAGCCUCCGGCUGUGAACCCCAGCUUCUCCUGGUGGAGUCGGGAAAAGGGAGCGUCAGUGCUGAGCGAGCUUCCGUCUCCUCCCUCAGUGUUUCUGCCCCAGUACGUUUUGGUUACUGAGACCCUCGAAUUCCCAUAUGAAUUGUAGCAGCAGCUAGUCAGUUUCUGCAGAGGAGACCGCAGGGAUUGUGAUCGAGACCACGUUGAAUAUACGGAUCGUUCUGGGAAGCACUGCCAUUCCAAGAGCGCUGUCUUCUGAUCCAGCAAUGUGCUUGGUUUGUCUGUCCAGGUGCCCUCACCUCCAGUAGCAUCCAUCCAGACACCGGAACUGACACUGACCGUGCUCAGAACUGCCUCAGCCCUGAAGACACAACUGACAAAUAGAAGGGGACCACGCCCUGUUACAGCAGAAAUAGACUCCUAUUAGAAGAGGGGAAGUGGAGACAUAGAUAUUCUGCUGAGAUAUUGGUGUCAUCAUAUUUGAGUUGGAAAGGACUUACGACAGCAUAGAGUCGUACCUUUUUAUGGGUGAGAAUCCAUGAUAGUGUAACUUGGACAAGAACCCGGGUCUUCUGUCUUCAUGUCCACGCGGAUGAAGAGUGUAAGAAUGCCAGUGACUGAGUUAGAAGCAUGCUCCCAAGCUGUCCGUGUCCUUGCCAUUAAGAAGCGGACCCUGGAAGCUUCCAAAUUCUCCAGAAUGCGUUCUACAUUCACCUUCGGCAGAUACCCAGCUUUCCCUGCACCAUUUGUUGAAUAGACAAUUCUUUCCAUGGAGUGUUGUUGGCACCCUUGUGGAAAACUGACUGUAAAUAUAAGGAGACUGAGAAUUAAGUCUUCUCUCUUUUGGGUGGAGCUCAUUAUCAAUGACGGGAAGUUGUAAGGAAAAAGAUAUUGAUUCAUUCUGAGAAAACAUUUUUCUGAGAGUCAGCAGUGAAGAAGGUGGACACUGAAGAAGAUCCAUCCCUUUUCUCUGCUCUUCCGGUCCAUCUGUCUCCCUCCACUUUUCCCCUCCUCUCCUCCCCCUCCCAUCUUCUCCCUCCCUCGCUGCCCCACCUUCUCUCGCAGAACCCAGAGUGGAUCGCUGGCCCUCCUGCGCAUGGGCAGUCGGUGCCAGCUGGACCGCGGGUUGGAAGCUCCAGCUCCGAGCCUGGGAUCGGCCCCAAAGGCUUCUCAGCUCUGUCGACCGGUAGGCCUUUAGCUCCUGCCCGGGGCCGGGGCCUCUGGCUGUGGAAGUGGAAGUUGGGGGGCUCCCAGGAAAGGGGUCAGGCGGCUGCGGGAGGGCGGUCGGCAUGUCACAGCCCCCCAGGGCGCCAGUCAGCCUGUGUUCAGCUGAAUUGCUCUGGCCAGACCCCUCUGCCCGCGCCACCUACCCCGGCGCCCCGGCCACACCUGUCCAUGGCCAGGUGUGCACCUGCAGCCUCUCACCCAGCCGGGCUCCCCUCAAUCCGUGGCUGGCGUCCCCUUCCCCUCUCCCGCCCGCGAGUCCUCUCCUCCCGGGCUGCCUCUCCUCGGCCGCCGGCCCGUCCCCGCCCCUGGGCGGGCUGUGUCCCGGGCGGGCGCGGUCUGCGGACCCGAACGGGGGCAGGCGGCUGGGGCUGGGGCUGGCCUCCGAGCGGGGCUGCAGCCCGCGUUUCCACCAACCGCCCCCCCGCUUUCCCUGCCCCGCAACCCCGGGGCUGCCCUGCUCUUCCUUUCCUGCUCCCUGAGGACAAGCUCAGCGGCGUGGGCGCUGCUCCCUGGGCUGAGAGCCUCCAGCUGUAAAGCCCAGCUUCUGGUGGAGUCGGGAAAGUGGAUCCUCAGUGCUGAGCGAGCUUUUGUCUCCUCCCUCAGUGUUUCUGCCCCAGGGCCUGCUACAGGAGCAUCCCUGACUACGUGCAGUGUGCUGAGGACUAUGAGACUCUUCCCGUGGUGGUCAAACCAGUGGGGAUCAUCUCAGAGGAGAAUUUCUUUUGCAUCUAUAAGCGAAUCUCCUUGGUGAGCCAGAUCAGCCCGUGCAGCUCCCAGGGCGCACUCUGUACGCACUACAGGUACCACUAUGCGCCCAAGAAUGGAUGGAGCGUCUUCCAGACCCACCGCAUGUUUGUGGGCCUUGUCACCAUUACCGACUGCCUCUCAGCCAAGGCCUUCGAGAAGCUCCACGUGCAGAGGAGCUGUAUGGCAUCACGCUUAAUGACUCUCAGCUCUUUGUCUUUGUGCUGCAUGGGGAGGUAGCCAAGCAGCCGCGCACCGACGUGGCCUUCAUACUACGUGGACUGCAUGGUGGUGGAGAAGAGGAUCGAGGAGUUCACUGAGUCACUCUUCAUCUUGCUCAAGUCCAAGUGGCUGGAUGGGGCCCCUGAGAAGUCUGGGGACAAGAUCCCACUCCUCUGCAUGCCGUUUGAGAAGGAGGACUUCAUGGGACUGGACACAGACAGCAGGGCCCUGUGAUCUACAUGCCCGCGCUCCCCAUCUGCUCCUUGGAGAUAAGGUGUCAGGUUUAGGAGCCUGGGAACUGCUGAGGGCACAGCUGCCAGCACCGUGCUACACCGAGCCUGGCUCCGUUCACCUCACAUGUCACCUCCUGCUGAUCCCCCAGGCGUCAGUCAAGUACGUUUUGGUUACUGAGACCCUCGAAUUCCCAUAUGAAUUGUAGCAGCAGCUAGUCAGUUACUGCAGAGGAGCCCACUGGGAUUGUGAUCGAGACCACGUUGAAUAUAUGGAUCGCUCUGUGAAGCACUGACAUUCCAAGAGCACUGUCAUCUGAUCCAGGAAUGCGCGUGGUGUGUCUGUCCAGGUGCCCUCACCUCCAGUGGCAUCCAUCCAGACACCAGCACUGACACUGGCCGUGCUCAGAACUGCCUCAGCCCUGAAGACACAACUGGCAAAUAGAAGGCGGCCACGCCCUGUUACAGCAGGUGCUCUCACUUUGUGGGUCCUUAUGUAACUGCGUGGUUUUAAUCAGGAUCGCCCGUUCUACAUUGUGUGGCGCUGCUGCCGUGUCUCCUAGUUAUUGUUUCUCUCCCUGAGGACCAGCUCAGCGGCAUGCGCGCUGCUUCCCGGGCUUAGAGCCUCAAGCUGUAAAGCCCAGUUUCUCCUGAUGGAGUCUGGAAAAGUGAGCGCCAGUGCUGAGGGAGUUUCCGUCUCCCCCCUCAGUGUUUCUGCCCCAGGGCCUGCAACAUGAGCAUCCCUGACUACGUGCAGUGUGCUGAGGAAUACGAGACUCUCCCCGUGGUCGUCCAACCCGUGGGGAUCAUUUCAGAGGACUAUUUCUUUUGCAUCUAUAAACGAAUCUCCUUGGUGAGCCAGAUCAGCCCGUGCGGCUCCCAGUGGGCACUCUGUAUCCACUACAGGCACCACUAUGCGUUCGAGAAUGCGUGGAGUGACUUCCAGACCCACCGCACGGUCGUGGGCCUUGUCACCAUUACCGACUGCCUCUCUGCCAAGGCCUUCGAGAAGCUCCAUGUGCAGAGGAGCUGUAUGGCACCACGCUUAAUGACUCUCAGCUCUUUGUCUUUGUGCUGCAUGGGGAGGUAGCCGAGCAGCCACGCACCAACGUGGCCUUCAAACUACGAGGACUGCCGGGUGGUGGAGAAGAGGAUCGAGGACUUCACUGAGUCACUGUUAAUCUUGCUCAAGUCCAAGUGGCUGGAUGGGACCCUGACAAGUCUGGGGAAAGGAUCCCCCUCCUCUGCACCUUGUUUGAGAAGGAGGACUUCAUGGGACUGGACACAGACAGCAGGGCCCUGUGAUCUACACGUCCGCACACCCUUCUGCUCCUUGGGGAUGAGGUGGCAGGUUUAGGUGCCUGGGCAUUGCUGUGGGCACAGCUGCCAUCACCGGGCUACACCGAGGCUGGCUCCGUUCACCUCACAUGUCACCUCCUGCUGAGCCCCCCGGCGUUAGUCAAGUUCGUUUUGGUUACUGAGACCCUCGAAUUCCCAUAUGAAUUAUAACAGCAGCUAAUCAGUUUUUGCAGAGGAGCCCGCUGGGAUUGUGAUCGAGACCAUGUAGAAUUUACGGAUCACUCUGGGGAGCACUGCCAUUCCAAGAGCACUGUCUUCUGAUCCAGGAUUGUACGUGGAGUGUCUGUCCAGGUGCCCUCACAUCCAGUGGCAUCCAUCCAGACACCAACACUGACACUGGCCAUGCUCAGAACUGCCUCAGCCCUGAAGACACAGGUGACAAAUAGAAGGGUGCCGCGCCCUGUUACAGCAGGUGCUCUCACUUUGUGGGUCCUUAUGUAACUGCGCGGUGUUAAUCAGGAUCGCCCGUUCUACAUUGUGUGGCGCUGCUGCAGUGUCUCCUAGUUAUUUGUUUCUGAGAAUUACGGCCUGCUGCUAGAGUGUUUGAUCAGGAUAAAUGAUUUGUUUCUAUAAGAUGCCACGUACAGUCACAAGCUCAGUGAGAAAUGGGCUGUCACCUCUUCAUCUGCAACUCAGUGCUCGACAGGACAUCGGGGCAAAGCCAGUCCGUAAUUUGUUUGUGAUGCAACUGUCCACGUGGGUCAAAUCAUGGUGCCCCUCUAAAACCUCCAAAAAAAAUCAAAGUUGAUUCUCUAUUUUGCAACUUGCCAUCUCUAUAUAAGUGCAGAAGAGUUAACAUCGUGAAAGAUCAGAGCCCGGAGAAUAGGCUCUCCUGGAUAUUUCAGGCUAAAGGCAACUUUCUUUUACAAAAGGUACAGAGCUACCAAGUCUGAGCCUAGAAAACAGCAAAUGUUUAAAGCCAAAGGAACAGAUCUAACAUGCAGUCAAAUUUAUUCUUUUCUAUUACAAUUUCUUUUUCCACCUCAUAAAUAAUUUUAGUAAGAAACAUGAGCAAUUUUUUUACUUUUGCUUCUUAGUAACGGAUAAGUGGGCCGAAUACAUUUAUGAGAGCAGGGAUGCUGUGCGGGCAUUGGGGUCACAGCAAACUCUUGUUGGGGGUGGUCGACUCUGCAACAUGUCUGAUGCCCCGUGGGUGUUGGUGAGGGACCCCAUAAACAGGGGCUCUCUUCAGGAACCAGCAUAUGGGCAUUGACCUCUGGAGACCUCUUUUUCAGCUGCCGGAAAUUUUUUCAGAUACUGUGACUGAAAAACAACUUCAGCUGGUGAUAAUUAGGGAAUAAAGGAAGAGGAAAAGGGCUUGGAUUAGAUUACAAGAGAAGGACAGAAUAUCAGGGAACCUGGGGGCUUGGCAGUGGGUCCUUGGGAGAGAGGGGAGCAGAGGUGGGGAGGGGCACGGCUCUGGAACCAGCUCCUGCAACUGUCCCAGGGCCCAAGUCACACAGCUUUUAAUUGGCCCAGGACGCUCUCCUGUCUGGAUGUCACCCUGGGCAGAACCUUGAGAAUCGAAGGUAAGGGGUGGGCAGCACUCACCUAGGGGAUCACUGAGGACUUAGUUCAAGUCCACAGUGUCUUUUCUGGUCAUGUGUCUUCACUUGCCCUUUAUCUUAGGAUCUGAGAAGCAGGAGCAAAGAACGCAGGGAGAGAUCCAGUAAGACAUCUGACUGUGUUAAGAGACGACAGUCAUAGCCACACAGGGAGCGAGGACACUUGCAGCAAAGUAAAACGACUUCAGAACUAUUGCAUCAGAGCUGCCGGUGUGAGAGAGCCUAAGCCUGUCUCAGAGUGCAGGGGACAAGCAGAAAGGAAUGUGUAAGAAUGCUGGUGACUGAGUUAGAAGCAUGCUUCAAAGCUGUCCGUGUCCUUGCCAUCCAGAAGCAGAGCCUGGGAGCUUCCGAAUUUCUCCAGAAUGGGGUUUACAUUCAUCUUCGACAGACGUUUCCAGUAAGGAUGGGGAGCAGAAGAGAAAACCCCCUGCUUCACAGUGGAAGCUGCUGUUUUGUGCAAAACUGACCAAAGUUUGAAGACCAGUCAUCAGCGGUGCUGGCAAAUGAAGAGACUUCGGGAUUGGGUGGGGCACUUGCUGCGACUUCCAGCAUUCCUAGGAGAGAAUUCAGCAGUGCAGCAUCCUCUCCGAGCUCUAUGAGUUGAUCGGCUUCCACCGCAAGUCCGCCUUCUGCAAGCGGGUGGCCCCCGUGCAGCGCGCGGCCCCCGGCAUCACGGAGCCUGGCUGGAAGGCCUGCUACCGACUCCUUCUGCAGACGCUUCCUGGCUACAGUCUGUCGCUGGAUCUGCAGGACUUCAGCAAAGGUGUUGGAACUAAAACAUUGCUUCAGUCCCAUUAACCAUGCCUGGUUUGGGCCCUGCUGUCUUGCCUCAUCAGGGUGAAUCCUGAUUCGUUUAGAACAGGGCUCAGCAGACUUUUUCUGUCAAGGGCUUGGGAGUAAGUAUUUCAGUGUCUGCAAACCUCCUGAUCUCUGGUGCAGCUGCUCAGCUCUGCUGUUCAGACGCCAGAGCAGCCGGACAUUCCACACACACACAGAGUUUUAUUAACAGCAUUGGCUGGGGCUGGAUUCGGUGUAUGAACUGCAGUUUGUCCCCACAGCUCCUCACUAUUGACGCCUGCACCAGAGCGUGCAUUUGCGACAAUGGGUGUACCUGCACUGACACGUCAUCAUCACCCAGAGCCCAGACUUGACACUAGGAUUUACACUUGGUGGUGUGCACUCUGUGGGUUUGGACAGAUGUGCAAGGACAUGUAUCCGCCGUCACAGCAUCAUACAGAGUAGUCUGUCUUAGUGACCUUAAAAUGCUCCGUGCUGCACCUCAUUCAUUGCUCCUUCCCCUCUAGCCUCUGACAGCCACUGGUCUUUUAGUCUCUUUGGUGUUCCCUUUCCCAGAACACCAUACAGUUGGAAUCAGACAUUUGUGGAACCUUCCCAGAUUGGCUUCUUUCACUUAGUAAUAUGCAUUUAAGGUUCCUCCAUGUCUUUUCCAUGCCUUGAUAACUCAUUUCAUUUUAGCACCAAAUAAUAGUCCAUUUUCUGGCUGGACCACAGUUUAUCCAUUCACCUACUGAAGAACAGCUUAGUUGUUUCUGAGUUCUGGUGAUUAUGAAUAAAGCUGCUAUUAACAUCUGUAUGCAGAUUUCUUUGUGGACAUAAGUUUCCAUUUCGUCGAGUAAACACCAAGGAGCACAGUUGCCGGAUCAUAUGUUAGGAGUACGUUUAGUUUUGUAAAAAAUUGCCAGACCGUCUUCCAAAAUAUCUGGGCCAUUUUACAUUCCCACCAGCAAUGCAUGAGAAUUCCUGACGCUCCACAUCCUCACCAGCAUUCGGUGCUUUCAGUGUUCUGCGUUUUGGCAGUUCUGACAGGUGUGCAGUGAUACCUCGCUGUUUCAGUCUGCAUCCCCUUGAUGACAGAUGCUGUGGAGCAUCUUUCCAUAGACUUCUUUGGCAUCUAGAUUUCUUCUUUGAUGAGGUGUGUGUUCAGGCAUUUUGCUCAUUUUUUAAUCAGGUUGUUCAUCCUCCUUGUUGAGUUUAAAGAGAUUUUGGUAUAUUCUGGAUAUCAGCCCUUUAUCAAUGUGUCCCUGCCCUUCACCUGCAGCACCGGAGUUGUCCUUUGGGUCUCAGUGGAGUGUCAGCUCUUCAAAGAGGUUCCCUGUCUUCCCUCAGCCUAAAUACUGUCCUUGUAUUUUUCACUUUCAUUGACUCAUUUUGUUGUUUUUAAAUAGCAUUUCCCAUAAUUUGUAAGUACAUUAAAUAAAAGGGCAAUGAUUGAACACCACCUCCCCCACCAGGCUGUGUGCCCUGUGAGAGCAGAGGCCCUGUCCCCACUCACCGUUUCCCAUGACAGCACAUGGCACAUGUCCAUGUAAAAGUGUGUAACGUGGGGCCAAACCUGAUGAGCAGCUAUGAUGACAUGUGUUGGCUACCAUUUAUUGAGUAGACUUUGUUUCUGAUCUUAAUUAUUAAAUCACAUGAAUGAAACUUGUUUGUUUUGAAAAAUAAACAACAAAGCACACCUCCAUUUGAUUGGUACUUUCCACUUAGCCUUCUGACCCAGGAGGGGAUGUUCACCAUCAUUUUGUGGAGGAGGUUGGGGAGGUAAAGUAAGAGAGUGAGAUCAAAUAAAGUAAAAAUGAUAACUAUCAGUUGGCUUUAUUUUCACUAAGACAUAAAAGUUACUUUAAACCCUA
Molecule: RNA transcript, 12028 nt
Organism: Camelus dromedarius (Arabian camel)
Lineage: Eukaryota; Metazoa; Chordata; Mammalia; Artiodactyla; Camelidae
Exons: 33
Source: RefSeq, a predicted model, not a curated record